GUCGAGGAUCAUUCGCAAUGGGCGGAAGCCUGACGAUGCGACGCUGCGUGGAGGAUGACGGCCCUCGGGUUGUAAACUCCUGUCACGGGGGGCGAGGCGGAGGCGGUGAACAGCCGCCCGAGUUGACGGUACCCCGAGAGGAAGCCACGGCUAACUCUGUGCCAGCAGCCGCGGUAAUACAGAGGUGGCGAGCGUUGUUCGGAUUUACUGGGCGUAAAGGGCGCGUAGGCGGCCGGUCGUGUCGGGUGUGAAAUCCAUGGGCCCAACCCAUGAAGUGCGCCCGAAACUGCCCGGCUGGAGUGCGGGAGGGGAGAUCGGAAUGCAUGGUGUAGCGGUGAAAUGCGUUGAUAUCAUGCAGAACACCGGUGGCGAAGGCGGAUCUCUGGAACGCUACUGACGCUGAGGCGCGAAAGCAGGGGGAGCAAACAGGAUUAGAUACCCGGGUAGUCC
This 450-nucleotide ribosomal RNA is filed under the name uncultured bacterium. RNAcentral describes it as "partial 16S ribosomal RNA". It matches the Rfam family "Bacterial small subunit ribosomal RNA", at positions 354 to 796 of the family's 1533-position model. The record is from RNAcentral.